This is a long non-coding RNA of Manis pentadactyla (Chinese pangolin), 2607 nucleotides long. RefSeq lists it as uncharacterized. The record is from RefSeq and is a predicted model, not a curated record. NCBI's taxonomy places the organism in Eukaryota, Metazoa, Chordata, Mammalia, Pholidota, Manidae. The transcript has 4 exons.
CAGAAGCGAGGGCAGCCGGAGUGUUAGUUAAGGAGGCCAGUGACGGAGAGCAGGGAGAAGCUGCAUGAAAUCUAAAUUGGUGGUUAUGGGGAAUUUAUUGAUGGAAGUAAAAUCUUAAACUGCAUGCUUAAUGUCAAUCUAGUUUACAGUUUUAGAUAAUGUAAACUAAGGGUGACAAAAUCAGAACAGAUGGCAAGAAGCAAGUUUUACAGAGAGCAAGCCACAAAUGCCUGUGGAAUGGACAUCCUGCUGGGGCAGCACGCAUCUUCACCCCCACGGGACUUCACAACCCUCAUCAGUGAUUCACGUAUGACAGCCGUGGGCAGAAACUACCCGCUAACAAAGUUCCCUCCAGUUUCCAGCAAGGGGAGUCUGAAGGACAUUUAAUAUGCCUGGGGGCAUCAGGGAAGGCCUCACAGUAGAGGCAACAUCUCAGCUGGGUCUUAGAAGAUGCGUAGAACUUUGAACGUAGGAAACAGGCCUUAUUGCCUCCUGGGAAGAGCAAACACCUACUCAAGCAAUGAAAUAUGAUUAUAUUAAGUUGGCCAGGCAGAAGACAGAGACCACUGGAAAGCAGAAAUCAAGAGACAAUUUUUCCAUUAGAGGCGCUCUCCUGGGCUGCACUUGCUUGCAUACGCACAUGCGUGAGAGUGAGCAAGCGGUGCUUGAGACAAACAGAAUCUGUGGGUGCCUGUCAGAGGCAUUUGUUAAUUUAAUUAGUACAGCUUCUGUAAAGUAUCAGGUUAGUAAUUUAAGUACUUCACUCAUUCUUCAUUGCUAUUGUUGUAUUUCAUGGAUUCUAUGAUGAAUGUGUUUUUCUCUCCAACAUUUUAACUUCUCCAAAAUUAAGAGUACAAGGCUACCACAGAAACAUUGUGGGUUCAUUCCAGUCUACCACAGUGAAGCAAAUAUCAUAAUAAAACAAGUUAAAUGAACUUUUUGGUUUCCCAGUGUAUAUAAAAUUUAUAUUUACACUGUACUGUAGUCUAUUAAGUGCAAUAACAUUAUGCCUAAAAAAAUACAUACAUUAAUGAAAAUACACUUUAAUAAUAUGAAAAUACUAAUAAAAAACCCAUUUUAUUAUAUUAUUGCAAAAAUUGCUAACCAUCACCUAAGCUUUAAGUGAGUUGUAAUCACUGAUCACAGAUCACCAUAAAAAACAUAAUAAUAAUAAAAAUGUUUGAAAUAUUGUGACAAUUACCAAACUGUGACACAGAGACACAAAAUGAACAGAUGCUAUUGGAAAAAUGGUGCUGAUAGCCUUGCGCAACGCAAGGGUCUUUAAAACUCCCAAUUUGUAAAAAAUGCAAUCCCUGCUAAACACAGAAAAUAAAGCAAAGCACAGUGAAACGAGGUGUGCCUGGACCCUGCAGCGGAUGGCGGCCAUUUGCCGUGGCUGUCACCGCCUGUGUGUGCCUGGAGUUGGGGGCAUGACUGGAAAAGUGCGAUCCAGUGACAUGUCAGCUGACAUACCGUUUAAGGACUGAUUGAGAAAGGCUUAGGAGAGUGUUAGACUGAAGCCUCUCCAACAGAGCACCAGUAUAAAAUCUUGAAGAUCGAAUACAAGUAGCUUGGAAGAAAAUCCUGACGGCAAGAGCAGGGCCCUCUUUUAGGAAGUGCUGUGUACCAUGUUCCUCUCUGAGUGAACGAGGGGUUCAGGGGAGUGAAUUUCUGGACACAAAGUUGUUUUGCAAGUACCUAAACAAAUUUAUUUUGUUUAUACUUUCCUUUUCAAUGGGUGAACAAGAAUGCUCUGUGAAAAGAAAAAAGCUAUGUCUAAAUAAGUUUUAGAAGGGGUUUUCAGUGAAUUUUAAAUAAAAAUCCUAAAGGACAGGAAAACAGCUUAAUUGGCAGUGUUUUUCUUUCUUUGUGGUAAAAAAUAGUACAUCUUACAAUCAAUGGCAUUUUACAUUCAGUGAAUAUGGCAUUUGGUCAUCCUAUCUAAAGCCGAGAGAUUUGGAGAACCAGUCUAGCUUCUACAUUUUAAAUAAGCUCAAAGAAAGUGGAUGAGUUGCCCAUUACUACACAGCUCUCUGGUAUAUGACAGUGACAAGCUACAUUUUAGAGGUCACCAUGGAUAACUGUUGGGAACUAGGUUUGUUUUGUUUUAAUAACACAAUAUCAUUUUUGUCUACACAAUGAAGUGACUUCCUUGUCCUUAGUAUCUAACAAAGCAAAUGAUAAAAUAUUUCUUAUGUUUGGGAACGUCCCAGGAGGUAUAAAAACAUGUCCUUUCCAACAAUAUAUGUUAAGUUAUUUAGGGGUUGGUGGCAGUUUCUUAAUAUUUCGGGAAAUAUUAUUUUUGGGAAAAAUGCAUAAUGUUCCUUUAACACCUAGAGAAUUCUAGAUAAACAACAGUGGUUUUGCUUAUACCGAGCAAAAAUCAAUGGUCCUGAGAAUAAAACAAUGUAGUUAAAUAUUUUUUUCCCACAUGGUUGUCUCCAGCUCAAUCCAUGUUGUUGCAAAUGGUAGGAUUUGUUUCUUUCCUAUGGUUGAAUAGUAUUCCAUUGUGUAUAUGUACUACUUCUUUAUCCAUCCAUCUACUGAUGGACACUUAGGUUGCUUCCGUAUUUUGGCUAUUGUAAAUAGUUCUGCAAUAAACAUAGG